CAGUCGCCGCGGUAAUACGUAGGGUGCGAGCGUUAAUCGGAAUUACUGGGCGUAAAGCGUGCGCAGGCGGUUUGUUAAGACAGAUGUGAAAUCCCCGGGCUUAACCUGGGAACUGCAUUUGUGACUGGCCGGCUAGAGUAUGGCAGAGGGAGGUGGAAUUCCACGUGUAGCAGUGAAAUGCGUAGAUAUGUGGAGGAACACCGAUGGCGAAGGCAGCCUCCUGGGCCAAUACUGACGCUCAUGCACGAAAGCGUGGGGAGCAAACAGGAUUAGAUACCCCGGUAGUCCCUGUCUCUUAUAA
Molecule: ribosomal RNA, 301 nt
Filed under: uncultured bacterium
Lineage: Bacteria
Description: partial 16S ribosomal RNA
Rfam family: Bacterial small subunit ribosomal RNA
Source: RNAcentral